Molecule: ribosomal RNA, 293 nt
Filed under: uncultured bacterium
Lineage: Bacteria
Description: partial 16S ribosomal RNA
Rfam family: Archaeal small subunit ribosomal RNA
Source: RNAcentral
GUGCCAGCCGCCGCGGUAAUACCGGCAGCCCGAGUGAUGGCCGAUCUUAUUGGGCCUAAAGCGUCCGUAGCUGGCCGACCAAGUCUCCCGGGAAAUCCACCCGCCCAACGAGUGGGCGUCCGACGGAAACUGCACAGCUUGGGACCGGAAGGCUCGAAGGGUACGUUCGGGGUAGGAGUGAAAUCCCAUAAUCCCGCACGGACCACCGAUGGCGAAAGCACUUCGAGAAAACGGAUCCGACAGUGAGGGACGAAAGCUAGGGUCUCGAACCGGAUUAGAUACCCUGGUAGUCC